Molecule: ribosomal RNA, 325 nt
Filed under: Merluccius polli (Benguela hake)
Lineage: Eukaryota; Metazoa; Chordata; Actinopteri; Gadiformes; Merlucciidae
Description: partial 12S ribosomal RNA
Rfam family: Bacterial small subunit ribosomal RNA
Source: RNAcentral
UCGAGGGCCCGAUACUCCGACCCUCCGCCCGGGAACUACGAGCACUAGCUUAAAACCCAAAGGACUUGGCGGUGCUUUACCCCCCACUAGAGGAGCCUGUUCUAGAACUGAUAACCCCCGUUGAACCUCACCAUCCCUCGUUUAACCCGCCUAUAUACCGCCGUCGUCAGCUUACCCUGUGAAGGCCAAAUAGUAAGCAAAAAUGGCUAAGCCAAAAACGUCAGGUCGAGGUGUAGUGAAUGGGAUGGGAAGAAAUGGGCUACAUUCUCUGUCACAGAGAAUACGAAUGGCAGCCUGAAAACCCUGCCUGAAGGUGGAUUUAGCA